CCCCUUUUUUUUCAAAACAUGUCUUAAUGAUUAUUUGUCUAUAUUAAGUCUAGCCUGCUCAAUGAUUAAAAUUAAAUAGCCGCAGUAUUUUGACUGUGCGAAGGUAGCAUAAUCAUUUGUCUUUUAAUUGGAGGCUUGUAUGAAUGGUUGGAUGAGGGAAUUACUUUCUUUAUAUUAUUUAAUUGAAUUUAAUUUUUAAGUUAGAAAGCUAAAAUUUUUAAGUGGGACGAGAAGACCCUAUAGAAUUUUAUUCAUUAUGUAUAAUUUUUAUUUUGGUAUUUAAUUAUUAAUUGUUUUUAAUGAAUUUUGUUGGGGUGACAUUGAGAUUUAUAUAACUCUCAUAUAUUAAUUUAUACUAUUAAGUAUUUUUGAGAUCCUGUUUUAUGGAUAAUUAGUUUAAAUUACCUUAGGGAUAACAGCGUUAUCCUUCCUGAGAGUUCUUAUCGAUGGAAGGGGUUGCGACCUCGAUGUUGGAUUAAAAUUAGAUUUAAGUGCAGAAGCUUAAUUUCUAGGUCUGUUCGACCUUUAAAAUUUUACAUGAUCGGUUUUUUAACCCG
This 557-nucleotide ribosomal RNA is filed under the name Antheminia lunulata. RNAcentral describes it as "partial large subunit ribosomal RNA". It matches the Rfam family "Bacterial large subunit ribosomal RNA", at positions 1794 to 2619 of the family's 2925-position model. The record is from RNAcentral. Lineage: Eukaryota; Metazoa; Arthropoda; Insecta; Hemiptera; Pentatomidae.